GACGAACGCUGGCGGCGUGCUUAACACAUGCAAGUCGAGCGGUAAGGCCCCUUCGGGGGUACACGAGCGGCGAACGGGUGAGUAACACGUGGGUGACCUGCCCUCAGCUCUGGGAUAAGCCUGGGAAACCGGGUCUAAUACUGGAUAUGACUCCAUGACGCAUGUUGUGGGGUGGAAAGCCUUGUGCGGCUGAGGAUGGGCCCGCGGCCUAUCAGCUUGUUGGUGGGGUGANGGCCUACCAAGGCGACGACGGGUAGCCGGCCUGAGAGGGCGACCGGCCACACUGGGACUGAGACACGGCCCAGACUCCUACGGGAGGCAGCAGUGGGGAAUCUUGCGCAAUGGGCGAAAGCCUGACGCAGCGACGCCGCGUGAGGGAUGACGGCCUCGGUU
RNAcentral lists this ribosomal RNA (393 nucleotides) under uncultured bacterium. Its description in RNAcentral is "bacterial SSU rRNA". It matches the Rfam family "Bacterial small subunit ribosomal RNA", at positions 28 to 424 of the family's 1533-position model. The record is from RNAcentral.